This 2981-nucleotide ribosomal RNA is filed under the name Pseudobdellovibrionaceae bacterium. Its description in RNAcentral is "Bdellovibrionaceae bacterium 23S ribosomal RNA". It matches the Rfam family "Bacterial large subunit ribosomal RNA". The record is from RNAcentral. Lineage: Bacteria; Pseudomonadati; Bdellovibrionota; Bdellovibrionia; Bdellovibrionales; Pseudobdellovibrionaceae.
UAAAAGCUACUAAGGGCUUACGGUGAAUGCCCUGGCACUAAAAGGCGAUGAAGGACGUGAUAAGCUGCGAAAAGCUUCGGGGAGUGGCACAUACACUUUGAUCCGGAGAUAUCCGAAUGGGGAAACCCACCAGUUUAACUGGUAUCUUAAAGUGAAUUCAUAGCUUUAAGAUGCGCACGAGGGGAAGUGAAACAUCUCAGUACCCUCAGGAAGAGAAAUCAACCGAGAUUCUCCUAGUAGUGGCGAGCGAACGGGGAAUAGCCUAAACCUCCUAUAUGUUAAAGCUCCUGGGCGUUGUAUAGGGGGUGUCGUGGGACUCUCAGAAGUUACUAGGAUAACUUCGCAGAGUUACAAAGUUUUACUAUAGUAGAACGAUCUGGAAAGGUCGGCCAAAGAAGGUGAUAGCCCUGUAAAUAAAAUAGUAAGACCUCUGGAGAGGAUCCCGAGUACUACCGGACACGUGUAAUCCGGUAGGAAUCUGGGCGGACCACCGUCUAAGGCUAAAUAUUCUUUAGUGACCGAUAGUGUACUAGUACCGUGAGGGAAAGGUGAAAAGAACCCCGAGAGGGGAGUGAAAUAGAACCUGAAACCGUAAGCUUACAAGCUGUGGGAGCACUAUGUCCUAGACAAGUGUGACCGCGUACCUUUUGCAUAAUGAGUCAGCGAGUUAUGGUUUGCAGGCUAGGUUAAGCCGUGACAGGUGUAGCCGUAGCGAAAGCGAGUCUGAAAUGGGCGUUAGUCUGUAACCAUAGACCCGAAACCCGGUGAUCUAUUCAUGGCCAGGGUGAAGCGUGGGUAACACCACGUGGAGGCCCGAACAAGUGGAUGUUGAAAAAUCCUUUGAUGAGCUGUGAAUAGGGGUGAAAGGCCAAUCAAACUGGGUGAUAGCUGGUUCUCCCCGAAAUAUAUUUAGGUAUAGCCUUGGGUCAUUGUAUCCCGGAGGUAGAGCACUGAAUGGGCUAGGGGUCUUUACCGGAUUACCAAACCCAAUCAAACUCCGAAUGCCGGAGAUAUGUAUCCCAGGAGGCAGUCAUAGGGUGAUAAGGUCCUUUGACGAGAGGGAAAGAGCCCAGACCGCCAGCUAAGGUCCCUAAAUAUGUGCUAAGUGGAAAACGCUGUGGAGCUACUUUGACAACUAGGAGGUUGGCUUAGAAGCAGCAAUCCUUUAAAGAAAGCGUAAUAGCUCACUAGUCUAGUGGCUCUGCGCGGAAGAUAUAACGGGGCUUAAGCACAUUACCGAAGCUGCGGGUUAGAUUUAUAUCUAGCGGUAGGGGAGCGUUGUGGCGUAGGCUGAAGGUCGACCGAGAGGACGGCUGGACGAACCACAAGUGAUCAUGCUGACAUAAGUAGCGUUUAACGCAGGUGAAAAACCUGCGCGCCGUAAACUCAAGGGUUCCUGGGCCAGGAUAAUCCUCCCAGGGUUAGUCGAGUCCUAAGGCGAGGCCAAUUGGCGUAGUCGAUGGAAAAACGGUUAAUAUUCCGUUACCUAUCUUGUUGUAAGCGCAGGAGGGACGGACUAGGAUAGGUUGGGCCUGUUAUUGGUUCAGGUUCAAGCGUGCAAGUGGUGGAGUAGGCAAAUCCGCUCCACAUACACCUAGGCGUGGAGGAAGGAGAAUUUUUCUCUGAACUCAACCGACUCCAUGGUUCCAAGAAAAGCUUCGGCGUGUUUUCAAGAUAGCUCGUACCGUAAACCGACUCAGGUGAGUGGGAUGAGUAUUCUCAGGCGAUUGGGUUAAAUCUGGUUAAGGAACUCGGCAACUUGACACCGUAACUUCGGGAUAAGGUGUGCCAUCUGGUGUGUAGUCCCUUGCGGGCGAAGCAUUGGGUGGUCGCAGAGAAAUGGGAGUAGCGACUGUUUAUCAAAAACACAGGGCUGUGCAAAGUCACAAGACGACGUAUACAGCCUGACGCCUGCCCGGUGCCGGAAGGUUAAGAGGAUCUGUUAGCUUCGGCGAAGCGGAGAAUUGAAGCCCCGGUAAACGGCGGCCGUAACUAUAACGGUCCUAAGGUAGCGAAAUUCCUUGUCGGGUAAGUUCCGACCUGCACGAAUGGCGUAACGACUUCUCCGGUGUCUCAACCAGAUGCCCAGCGAAAUUGAAUUCUCGGUGAAAAUGCCGAGUACCCGCGGAAAGACGGAAAGACCCCGUGAACCUUUACUCUAGCUUGGCAGUGACCUUUGAGGCCUCAUGUGUAGGAUAGGUGGGAGUCUAUGAAACCCGGACGCUAGUUCGGGUGGAGACACCCUUGAAAUACCACCCUUGAUGUCUUAGAGGUCUAACCUGCACCCGUUAUCCGGGUGAGGGACACUGUCUGGUGGGGAGUUUGACUGGGGCGGUCGCCUCCUAAAAAGUAACGGAGGCGUGCGAAGGUUCCCUCAGCCUGAUCGGAAACCAGGCGUCGAGUGCAUUGGCAUAAGGGAGCUUGACUGCGAGACCUACAAGUCGAGCAGGUGCGAAAGCAGGCCAAAGUGAUCCGGUGGUCCCGCGUGGAAGGGCCAUCGCUCAACGGAUAAAAGGUACUCCGGGGAUAACAGGCUGAUACCCCCCAAGAGUUCACAUCGACGGGGGUGUUUGGCACCUCGAUGUCGGCUCAUCACAUCCUGGGGCUGGAGCAGGUCCCAAGGGUUUGGCUGUUCGCCAAUUAAAGUGGUACGCGAGCUGGGUUCAGAACGUCGUGAGACAGUUUGGUCCUUAUCUUCCGUGGGCGUAGGAGAAUUGAGAGGAGCUGUCCUUAGUACGAGAGGACCGGGAUGGACGAACCUAUGGUGUUCCUGUUGUCGCGCCAGCGGCAUCGCAGGGUAGCUAUGUUCGGAACGGAUAACCGCUGAAAGCAUCUAAGCGGGAAGCCGACCUCAAGAUUAGUUCUCCCAGAUCUUUAUGAUCCUUAAGACUCCUUCUAGACUAGGAGGUUGAUAGGCAGGAAGUGUAAGCAGGGUGACCUGUUCAGCUAACCUGUACUAAUUAGUCGUGAGGCUUUUUUUU